This 512-nucleotide ribosomal RNA is filed under the name uncultured bacterium. RNAcentral describes it as "partial 16S ribosomal RNA". It matches the Rfam family "Bacterial small subunit ribosomal RNA", at positions 28 to 523 of the family's 1533-position model. The record is from RNAcentral.
GAUGAACGCUGGCGGCGUGCCUAAUACAUGCAAGUCGAGCGAAUGAUGAGGAGCUUGCUCCUCUGAUUUAGCGGCGGACGGGUGAGUAACACGUGGGUAACCUGCCUGUAAGAUGGGGAUAACUCCGGGAAAACGGGGCUAAUACCGAAUAAUAAAAGAGGAAGCAUUUCUUAUUUUUGAAAGUUGGUUUCGGCUAACACUUACAGAUGGGCCCGCGGCGCAUUAGCUAGUUGGUGAGGUAACGGCUCACCAAGGCGACGAUGCGUAGCCGACCUGAGAGGGUGAUCGGCCACACUGGGACUGAGACACGGCCCAGACUCCUACGGGAGGCAGCAGUAGGGAAUCUUCGGCAAUGGGCGAAAGCCUGACCGAGCAACGCCGCGUGAGCGAGGAAGGCCUUCGGGUCGUAAAGCUCUGUUGUCAGGGAAGAACAAGUACGAGAGUAACUGCUCGUACCUUGACGGUACCUGACCAGAAAGCCACGGCUAACUACGUGCCAGCAGCCGCAGUAA